GCCCAGACUCCUACGGGAGGCAGCAGUAGGGAAUCUUCCGCAAUGGACGAAAGUCUGACGGAGCAACGCCGCGUGAGUGAUGAAGGUUUUCGGAUCGUAAAACUCUGUUGUUAGGGAAGAACAAGUACCAUAGUAACUGAUGGUACCUUGACGGUACCUAACCAGAAAGCCACGGCUAACUACGUGCCAGCAGCCGCGGUAAUACGUAGGUGGCAAGCGUUGUCCGGAUUUAUUGGGCGUAAAGCGCGCGCAGGCGGUCUUUUAAGUCUGAUGUGAAAGCCCACGGCUCAACCGUGGAGGGUCAUUGGAAACUGGGAGACUUGAGUGCAGAAGAGGAGAGUGGAAUUCCACGUGUAGCGGUGAAAUGCGUAGAGAUGUGGAGGAACACCAGUGGCGAAGGCGACUCUCUGGUCUGUAACUGACGCUGAGGCGCGAAAGCGUGGGGAGCGAACAGGAUUAGAUACCCUGGUAGUCCACGCCGUAAACGAUGAGUGCUAAGUGUUAGAGGGUUUCCGCCCUUUAGUGCUGCAGCUAACGCAUUAAGCACUCCGCCUGGGGAGUACGGCCGCAAGGCUGAAACUCAAAGGAAUUGACGGGGGCCCGCACAAGCGGUGGAGCAUGUGGUUUAAUUCGAAGCAACGCGAAGAACCUUACCAGGUCUUGACAUCCUCUGACACUCCUAGAGAUAGGACGUUCCCCUUCGGGGGACAGAGUGACAGGUGGUGCAUGGUUGUCGUCAGCUCGUGUCGUGAGAUGUUGGGUUAAGUCCCGCAACGAGCGCAACCCUUGAUCUUAGUUGCCAGCAUUCAGUUGGGCACUCUAAGGUGACUGCCGGUGACAAACCGGAGGAAGGUGGGGAUGACGUCAAAUCAUCAUGCCCCUUAUGACCUGGGCUACACACGUGCUACAAUGGAUGGUACAAAGGGCAGCAAAGCCGCGAGGCCGAGCCAAUCCCAUAAAGCCAUUCUC
This 969-nucleotide ribosomal RNA is filed under the name Bacillus sp. (in: firmicutes). RNAcentral describes it as "bacterial SSU rRNA". It matches the Rfam family "Bacterial small subunit ribosomal RNA", at positions 329 to 1289 of the family's 1533-position model. The record is from RNAcentral. Lineage: Bacteria; Bacillati; Bacillota; Bacilli; Caryophanales; Bacillaceae.